UGGCGGACGGGUGAGUAAUGUCUGGGAAACUGCCUGAUGAGGGGGAUAACUACUGGAAACGGUAGCUAAUACCGCAUAACGUCGCAAGACCAAAGAGGGGGACCUUCGGGCCUCUUGCCAUCGGAUGUGCCCAGAUGGGAUUAGCUUGUUGGUGGGGUAAUGGCUCACCAAGGCGACGAUCCCUAGCUGGUCUGAGAGGAUGACCAGCCACACUGGAACUGAGACACGGUCCAGACUCCUACGGGAGGCAGCAUG
RNAcentral lists this ribosomal RNA (255 nucleotides) under uncultured bacterium. RNAcentral's name for it is "partial 16S ribosomal RNA". It matches the Rfam family "Bacterial small subunit ribosomal RNA", at positions 96 to 353 of the family's 1533-position model. The record is from RNAcentral.